RNAcentral lists this transfer RNA (54 nucleotides) under Haematoloechus sp. CW13H. RNAcentral describes it as "tRNA-Thr". Lineage: Eukaryota; Metazoa; Platyhelminthes; Trematoda; Plagiorchiida; Haematoloechidae. The record is from RNAcentral.
GGAAGUAUAGUUUAUUUAGAAUGUUGUUUUUGUAAUACAGCGGGGUGUCUUUGA